GCAAAAAUGAACUGAGUUUAGCUUCGAAAGAUAUAUGAACAGUCUGUCACGUUUUAAGUUACCAUUAUUGCAGCAUCUCUUGAACUUUCCUAUUCCCACUAAAAACUGGACAUGAAGCACUGCUCAUCAGUUUCCUUGGAAAAUGCUGGAGAACUGUGUUAAAAUGUAGUAUACUUACCUGUAGGUUAUGAAGGAAGAAAAAGAAAACAUUGAAGAGUUUUUGUGCAACAGAUAUAAAGAAAAGGGUAAUCUAUUGAGAGUAAUGCAUUUAAUAUCUAACCUCUGACUAAUGUUACAUGCAAUGUAGUUACAACUAGAAUUACACGA
Molecule: long non-coding RNA, 327 nt
Organism: Orbicella faveolata
Lineage: Eukaryota; Metazoa; Cnidaria; Anthozoa; Scleractinia; Merulinidae
Source: RefSeq, a predicted model, not a curated record